UGUUGCUAUUCUUGCAGGAUAUCUUACUUGGGUUCUCUGCAUUUCCUAAAUUUGAAUGUUGGCUUGUCUUGCUAAGUGGGGGAAAUUUUCCUGAAUGAUAUCCUGAACUGUUUUCCAACUUGG
Long non-coding RNA from Sapajus apella (tufted capuchin), 123 nucleotides. RefSeq lists it as uncharacterized. The record is from RefSeq and is a predicted model, not a curated record. The transcript is spliced from 3 exons. Lineage: Eukaryota; Metazoa; Chordata; Mammalia; Primates; Cebidae.